This 301-nucleotide ribosomal RNA is filed under the name uncultured bacterium. RNAcentral describes it as "partial 16S ribosomal RNA". It matches the Rfam family "Bacterial small subunit ribosomal RNA", at positions 509 to 807 of the family's 1533-position model. The record is from RNAcentral.
CAGCCGCCGCGGUAAUACGAAGGGGGCUAGCAUUGUUCGGAUUUACUGGGCGUAAAGGGUGCGUAGGCGGAUUGUUAAGUCAGGGGUGAAAUCCCGAGGCUCAACCUCGGAACUGCCUUUGAUACUGGCGAUCUUGAGUCCGGGAGAGGUGAGUGGAACUGCGAGUGUAGAGGUGAAAUUCGUAGAUAUUCGCAAGAACACCGGUGGCGAAGGAGGCUCACUGGCUCAUUCUAGACGCUGAGGUGCGAAAGCGUGGGGAGCAAGCAGGAUUAGAUACCCCAGUAGUCCCUGUCUCUUAUAC